AGUAACACGUAAACAACCUGCCUUCAGGAUGGGGACGAACAGACGGAAACGAACUGCUAAUACCGAAUAAGUUCCAAGAGCCGCAUGGCCCAUGGAAGAAAAGGUGGCCUCUACCUGUAAGCUAUCGCCUGAAGAGGGGUUUGCGUCUGAUUAGCUGGUUGGAGGGGUAACGGCCCACCAAGGCGACGAUCAGUAGCCGGUCUGAGAGGAUGAACGGCCACACUGGAACUGAGACACGGUCCAGACUCCUACGGGAGGCAGCAUG
This 265-nucleotide ribosomal RNA is filed under the name uncultured bacterium. Its description in RNAcentral is "partial 16S ribosomal RNA". It matches the Rfam family "Bacterial small subunit ribosomal RNA", at positions 109 to 353 of the family's 1533-position model. The record is from RNAcentral.